This 429-nucleotide ribosomal RNA is filed under the name uncultured archaeon. RNAcentral describes it as "bacterial SSU rRNA". It matches the Rfam family "Archaeal small subunit ribosomal RNA", at positions 474 to 903 of the family's 1478-position model. The record is from RNAcentral.
UACCAGCUCUCCGAGUGGUGUGGAUGUUCAUUGGGCCUAAAGCAUCCGUAGCUGGCUGGGCAAGUCCCCUGUUAAAUCCACCGAUUUAAUCGUUGGUGUGCGGGGGAUACUGUUCGGCUAGGGGACGGGAGAGGCCGACGGUAUUUUCGGGGUAGGGGUGAAAUCCUAUAAUCCCGGGAAGACCACCAGUGGCGAAGGCUGUCGGCUAGAACGCGCCCGACGGUGAGGGAUGAAAGCUGGGGGAGCGAACCGGAUUAGAUACCCGGGUAGUCCCAGCUGUAAACGAUGCAGGCUAGGUGUUUGGGCGGCCACGUGCCGCUCUAGUGCCGCAGAGAAGUCGUUAAGCCUGCCGCCUGGGGAGUACGGCCGCAAGGCUGAAACUUAAAGGAAUUGGCGGGGGAGCACCACAAGGGGUGAAGCUUGCGGUUU